RNAcentral lists this ribosomal RNA (496 nucleotides) under uncultured bacterium. RNAcentral describes it as "partial 16S ribosomal RNA". It matches the Rfam family "Bacterial small subunit ribosomal RNA", at positions 29 to 507 of the family's 1533-position model. The record is from RNAcentral.
AUGAACGCUGGCGGCGUGCCUAAUACAUGCAAGUCGAGCGAACAGACGAGGAGCUUGCUCCUCUGACGUUAGCGGCGGACGGGUGAGUAACACGUGGAUAACCUACCUAUAAGACUGGGAUAACUUCGGGAAACCGGAGCUAAUACCGGAUAAUAUAUUGAACCGCAUGGUUCAAUAGUGAAAGACGGUUUUGCUGUCACUUAUAGAUGGAUCCGCGCCGCAUUAGCUAGUUGGUAAGGUAACGGCUUACCAAGGCAACGAUGCGUAGCCGACCUGAGAGGGUGAUCGGCCACACUGGAACUGAGACACGGUCCAGACUCCUACGGGAGGCAGCAGUAGGGAAUCUUCCGCAAUGGGCGACAGCCUGACGGAGCAACGCCGCGUGAGUGAUGAAGGUCUUCGGAUCGUAAAACUCUGUUAUUAGGGAAGAACAAAUGUGUAAGUAACUAUGCACGUCUUGACGGUACCUAAUCAGAAAGCCACGGCUAACUACGUG